CACACUUACCCUCAUCCUUAUCUCCUUCCCCCGUGUACCUUCUCUGUCUCGAACAAUCUCUCUCUCUCUACUUCUCCAUUUGUACGGACAAGACCCAAAACCCUUGUAAACGUUGCAGAUCAAGGUGGAAAAUUAUACCUUUGUGUUCGUGAAGACCAUAGGAGUUCAACCAUACCAAUUUCAGAGAAUUUGAAGCUUAUAGGAAGCUUAAUGAGGUCCUUAGGAAACUCGGGGUGGUUCGUUGGAAGGAUUUGGACGUCAGGAUCGUGAGUUGCAAAUUUGGCUGAUUUUCCUCGAAUUUCUCCGGCGAGAUCCUGUGAUCUUUGAGGUUUCAAACAGUUGUUUUGCAUAUAGGUGAAACCUAUCCCGAGGACGAGCGCAGUCACUCGAGGCAAGG
This is a long non-coding RNA of Pyrus x bretschneideri (Chinese white pear), 397 nucleotides long. RefSeq lists it as uncharacterized. The transcript is spliced from 3 exons. Lineage: Eukaryota; Viridiplantae; Streptophyta; Magnoliopsida; Rosales; Rosaceae. The record is from RefSeq and is a predicted model, not a curated record.